This 73-nucleotide transfer RNA is filed under the name Saccoglossus kowalevskii. Its description in RNAcentral is "tRNA-Tyr". It matches the Rfam family "tRNA". From Rfam's summary of the family: Transfer RNA (tRNA) molecules are approximately 80 nucleotides in length. Their secondary structure includes four short double-helical elements and three loops (D, anti-codon, and T loops). The record is from RNAcentral. Lineage: Eukaryota; Metazoa; Hemichordata; Enteropneusta; Harrimaniidae.
CCUUCGAAAGCUCAGUUGGUAGAGCGGAGGACUGUAGAUCCUUAGGUCGCUGGUUCGAAUCCGGCUCGAAGGU